Cavia porcellus (domestic guinea pig) is the source of this 3458-nucleotide long non-coding RNA. RefSeq lists it as uncharacterized. Lineage: Eukaryota; Metazoa; Chordata; Mammalia; Rodentia; Caviidae. The transcript is spliced from 2 exons. The record is from RefSeq and is a predicted model, not a curated record.
AUGCAUGGAUUCUAUCCACCACAUGGGCCACAGUCUAGCUCUCUCACUGGCCUGCUUGGUGACCUUGGACAAGUGACAACAUCUGGGCUUUAGUCUCCUUGCUAAAGACAGACUGCUGGGUGCGGUGGUGCAUACCUGUAGCCCCCGAACUCCAGAGGCUGAGGCGGAGAGUUGCCUCGAGUUCAGGACCAGCCAAGACCAAGAAUACAUGGUGCUUGAUCAAGGGCAUCUGCUGUGGUUUUGUCACUUAGGGACUGGAGUAAGCAGCUGUCCACAUGCCCUGCCAGGACUGUGCCAGGCGUGGCCUCAGGACCACGUGGGGCCCUGGUUCAUUUGGGACCAAGAUGAUGCCUGAGGUCAGCCGGCCACGUGGGGCUUCCUGUGUGUCAGCUCGAAUCCUGAGCACUGUGAUGUGGGGACUGUUCCUCCCAGCUCACAGAUGCAGCAACUGAGGCUCAGAGCAGGCAACACACACUGGCACACAUAUACCUGGCACCUGGGUGACAGCGGGGAUUUGAACUAGGUCUGUGGGCUCGGAGGUCAGAAGGUACUCCUUUCUCUGCCUCCCUGGUCCUCAGGCGCCCCCCACAGGGCAGGUGCUGCCAGGCCUCAGUGCAGGCCCUGCCCUCCUAACUCUUUCUGGACCGCUACACACCCGCCGCGCCCACUCCCUACCCUUCCACAAGUUAGGAGGGAAGAAGGAGAUUGUUAACUGCUUGUUACUUCCUGGGCUUUCUACCUCAAACGCCGAAGGGUGGGUGGUAUGACUCCUAUGAUAGACUUAGGGAAACUGAGGCUUGGGGUCUUAGGCCCAAUGCCAAAAGCCUAGGAACCAGGUGAUCACCUCGGAGCUCUGUGUCAGCCCAGCCCAGCUCCAGGGCACACAGCCCAGCGCCAGAGACCGGAGAAGCCGUUGCCCAGCUGGAAAAUGGGGAGCGGGCAUGGCCAGACAGCCCCAGAUGGGAGCCUGGAGGGAGGCGAGGGCAGGUGAGAAAAGCCUUUCUGGAAUCUGAGCAGGCGGACUUGGAAGCCACGCAUGGCCACCAUCCAAGCCGCGGGCUUUCGGCUUUGUUUUCCAAAUUCCUGUCAGAAUCCCUUAAUUGGAAGGGAUUGAAAGCAGGUCGUUAUGUCCCAAGCCAGCUGAGAAAGGGGAGGAGAGCUCCUGUCCCCUGAUCCACCAGACGGCCUGGGGCAGGACUUGAGCUCUGAAAGACACUCCCAGUUCCGGAGCAGAGAACAGCAGGAGUGAACUCCUGCCCAGCCCAGAGCUGGGGUGGGGCUGCUCGGAGGACUGGGGGUGGUCCCUGGGGAGGGAAGGGCUGCAGAGGGGGUCCCCGGCAGGUGAGAGGACAGCGACAUGGACAAAGUCUUCCUGGCGUGGAAGCAAAUCAGCAGCAUGGAGGAGCGGGGUGUGAGGUGCGGGAGAAGCACUGGCCACCUCCAUCAAAAGCAAGAUGGGGCGGGGCUGGGGUGUAGGCCUCGGUUCUGGAAACCGAGGGAGACCCAGCAGUGGCAGAGCUGGGGAAGCAGGAAGCCCCUGCAGCUGGCCACUUGGGAGACAGCAAGGGAUGGGAGCGAGUGGGCAGCAGGGCCGGGCCGAGCUCUGCCGUGGCGUGGACACAGGAGUCGUGGCAGGAGUCACGCCGAGAUCACACCCAGCUUUCGGGGUUCCCACUCCCAGACAGAGAAAUCCCAGGAAGGGGAGGGUGACUGGAACGUCAGUGUGGAAACCGGCUCUGGGUGUGAGUCGAAGCCCCUGGCUCUGAGAGUCUGGGCGGGGCUCGGGCGGUGAGACCCGGCCAGGUCAUUUCACAGGGCCCAAGCCCAGUGCUGGGCUAACGGUGGGCGCCUGGCUCCGCAGCUGGGCAGGGGCAGGUGGGGGCGGGUGCUGUGUUUGAUUCAGACAGCGCGCACUCCGAGGUCCAGCUUGCUCACAGAGGCCCGCCCUGCCUGAGCGGGACACCCUGUUCAUAGCCGGCCAAGAGCUUCAGAUCAGCCGCCCUCUCUCAAGCUCAUCCAACCAAUAAUUCUUGGCUAAAUUCUUCUUUUUCUGAUCAAAAAGAAAAAUGAAAUGAGUAAUGUAAAAGCCUCUUGCAUUCCACUGCCCGGAGGAAAGCACCGUCCAGUGAUCUGUGCUUCCUGCUUGCGCCAGCCGGGGUCCUGUUAAACACGCGGUUUCCUUGAGAUCCUCCAUCCGCUGCUGUCGCUGGGCUUUGUCCCAUGCCAGGAAAGAGCCUCGGGAAAGGAGCUCGGGAACGGCCGGAUGGCGCCUCAGCUCUGGUUAUUUCUGAAGACAGCUUCCCAGGAGUGCGGUGAUGAAGUGUGUGUGUGGGGGGGGGUGCCGCUCUAUGAGGCGCUGGAGAAUGCCAUCACACUGCCCUCUGGAGAGCUGGUUCCCACUGUCAUCACCCACCAUCCUUUGCCAGCACUGGGUGUUAGCACAUGAGCCUAAUGCCCGCUGGGAGCUUCCGGGUUGGGGUGGGGGGUACAGGGAGGCCCAGGAGGAAACCGUGCUGUCAGAGCACAUGUGACUGCAGAGACCAGGUAAGAAACAGGACAGAAGUCACCCUGGCCCCGUUCGCUUGCUUCUCCCAGAUCCCAAACUCUGUUACGGCUACUCUGCCCCACAGAGCAGCAGCAGCUGUGGACGGCAGCUAAGCAGAGAGGUGGCCGUGUUCCGGAAGACGAUGUUCCUAACCCAGAGCCCCCGUGUGGCUCAGAGUCACCGCAGAGUCACGUUUCCUGACCCCUGCUCGCUGUCAUUUCCUCCCCUACAUCUGGAGAAGUAGGUGGACAGGACAGUGUGCACCUGUCACUCAGAGCGUGGACCUGCAUGUGAUAGCCAAGCUGCCCUGCACACACCUGGAGAAGUGGGGUGCACGCUGGGCCCCUCCUCCGGGCCUUUGCUGCUGUCCUCCAGCCACAUGACUGGCGAUGUUGUUCUGCGGAGCUCACCCACCGCACGCUCCUGCCUGGGGGCUGGCUGACCGCAGAGAGUCCUGGAACCGUGAUCCUGCCGUGCCAGAUCAUUUGUCCCAAAAACAGAGAAGCUGACUGAUUCACCGAAACUCACAGAGCGCAGGUGAGUCCGCCUUGUGUGGUAGACAAGGAGGCUUCUGCCAGGCCUGACUGUGCAGACGGAAGGCAGAGCCACCUUCAGACCCCACAGCUCAGGAUUCCACAGAACCCCACCACAAGACCAUCAUGGCUGGGAAGCAGCAGCCCAAAGAGAUCUACGUCCACUCGCUCCCCGGGGCCGUAACAGAGCCUCCAGCUUCUCCAGGGGCUGGGCACUGUCCUGCUGCACUCAUAGACUUCUAGACCACGAGGAAAAGGGAGAAGCCUGAUGCUUCGGGUCACAUUGCCCCUCCUCCUCCUCUACAAGCUAUGCUCUAGUUAGGCCACCUUGGAAACGGGGCCGUUGCAGGGGUUACAAGUAAAGCUGAUUAACUUAUUAA